UUUCCGUAGGUGAACCUGCGGAAGGAUCAUUAACACUAAUUAAUGAGUCCAAACCAUUGGAUUUCAACCAACCAUUGUACGAACCUAUUCUUUACAGUUGUGAAUCAAAACAAGGAAAAAAAACCUAAACACAUUGGGGGACUUUGUUGUCCUCUUGUUUUGGGGUGUUUUUCUGCGUUUGAUUCGCAGCUAGUCCCUUGUAAACUAUUUUUCUAAACGAUUAUGAAUCUAACUGACUAAAAACAUUUUUUGAGUUGGUACCCUAACUGGGGAUCAAGUCAAAUCAUAAGAUAAACGCGAAACAACUCUUAACAACGGAUAUCUUGGCUCUC
This 332-nucleotide unclassified non-coding RNA is filed under the name plant metagenome. RNAcentral describes it as "partial contains small subunit ribosomal RNA, internal transcribed spacer 1, and 5.8S ribosomal RNA". The record is from RNAcentral.